AGAACGAACGCUGGCGGCAGGCCUAACACAUGCAAGUCGAACGCUGUAGCAAUACAGAGUGGCAGACGGGUGAGUAACGCGUGGGAACCUUCCCAGUGGUGCGGAAUAGCUCAGGGAAACUUGAGGUAAUACCGCAUAAGCCCUUAGGGGGAAAGAUUUAUCGCCAUUGGAUGGGCCCGCGUCGGAUUAGCUAGUUGGUGAGGUAAUGGCUCACCAAGGCAACGAUCCGUAGCUGGUUUGAGAGAAUGACCAGCCACACUGGGACUGAGACACGGCCCAGACUCCGUACGGGAGGCAGCGAGGUGGGGAAUCGUUGGACAAGUGGGCGCAAGGCCUGAUCCAGCCAUGCCGCGUGAGUGACGAAGGCCGUUAGGUUGUAAGUCUCUUUGGCCGGGACGAUAAGUCGACGGUACCGGAGAACUAAGUCCCGACUAAC
This 436-nucleotide ribosomal RNA is filed under the name uncultured soil bacterium. RNAcentral describes it as "bacterial SSU rRNA". It matches the Rfam family "Bacterial small subunit ribosomal RNA", at positions 26 to 501 of the family's 1533-position model. The record is from RNAcentral.